UCCUCAAUUUGAUUCGAAUUGAAACCCAAACUAAAUUCUUCAAAGCAAAGCACCGCCACUUCAUCGUUCAUCCACCUUCAGUCGGCGGUGGUGUUCACCGCAAUCACCAAUAGCUCCGGUGACAUCUCACGACCUUAACCCUAACCGUUUUUUACCCAUAUCGGACGCUGAUCAUCAAGAAUCGUAAGAAAUGGUUCAAAGUCCUUAACAUCGAUUGCAACCAUCGUUCGUUGGUGAGUGACACCAACUUCACCGAAUAAAGUGUUGUUCCCAUCAGUCACUCGCUGUGACUCGCCGUCGAACGUUGUGGAGAGCACCGCAAAAGCUUCGUCGAAAAACUUAGAACCUUAACGUUGUUUUUACGAUUUUGGCCAAAUCUGUCAUCCAUCUACUUCACAUCCUGUGUCAUUGGAUUUACCGGAGAGUUCCAGAAUAACCCAACUGGGUUCAUCGCUCUAUCGUCCUGUCUUCGUCGUCCGCCACUAGGAUUGGUGACAAAUUAAACGGGGAGUAAUCGGUCGUUCGAAUCGACCCUAUCACUGUUGUCACGUAUCACCGUCACGUAUAGGGUUUCUCGAUAAGCAAGGAAUUUUCUAGAAUCGGUCCAGUUGGAUAGUAUCAGACUGAACCGACCUAUUUAGGCCGGAUCGGUUUGAGCAUGAAUCAGCCCACUGAGUCAACUCGCACUGAGUCAACUCAACAAAUAUGACCCGUUGGCUUUGACUGUUUGUUGACCUGACCAGGAUUGACUUUGAUCAAAAAGUUAAUUUUUUAAAUGCCUAUUCUAUGUUUUUCGACGUCCUAAGUUCGAAUCUAAAGUUCGUUUCGCCAAUUUCAAACCAUGAUGUAGAAAUCAAGUGUGAGGGUGAUCAAAUAGAGAUUAAUUGGUUGAUCGAUGUGACACGACAAUCGAG
Hibiscus syriacus is the source of this 914-nucleotide long non-coding RNA. RefSeq lists it as uncharacterized. The transcript has 3 exons. NCBI's taxonomy places the organism in Eukaryota, Viridiplantae, Streptophyta, Magnoliopsida, Malvales, Malvaceae. The record is from RefSeq and is a predicted model, not a curated record.